GCAGCCGAUCAGACGGGGAAGCUGUUCGUCGGGGACGCUGUGUUGCAGGUCAACGGUAUAAAUGUCAAGCCUUGUACCCAUGAAGAAGUUGUUCACCUCUUGCGCACUGCAGGAGAUGAGGUCACCAUUACUGUUCGCUACCUGCGAGAAGUUCCAUCAUUUCUUAAACUGCCUCUAGGUUCCCCUGGGCCGUCCACAGAUCACAGCAGAGUAUCCUCUCCACUCUUUGACAGCGGCUUACAUUUAAAUGGAAACAGAAACA
Long non-coding RNA from Notothenia coriiceps (black rockcod), 262 nucleotides. RefSeq lists it as uncharacterized. Lineage: Eukaryota; Metazoa; Chordata; Actinopteri; Perciformes; Nototheniidae. The transcript has 4 exons. The record is from RefSeq and is a predicted model, not a curated record.